Molecule: ribosomal RNA, 497 nt
Filed under: uncultured bacterium
Lineage: Bacteria
Description: partial 16S ribosomal RNA
Rfam family: Bacterial small subunit ribosomal RNA
Source: RNAcentral
GAUGAACGCUGGCGGCGUGCCUAAUACAUGCAAGUCGAGCGAACAGACGAGGAGCUUGCUCCUCUGACGUUAGCGGCGGACGGGUGAGUAACACGUGGAUAACCUACCUAUAAGACUGGGAUAACUUCGGGAAACCGGAGCUAAUACCGGAUAAUAUAUUGAACCGCAUGGUUCAAUAGUGAAAGACGGUUUUGCUGUCACUUAUAGAUGGAUCCGCGCCGCAUUAGCUAGUUGGUAAGGUAACGGCUUACCAAGGCAACGAUGCGUAGCCGACCUGAGAGGGUGAUCGGCCACACUGGAACUGAGACACGGUCCAGACUCCUACGGGAGGCAGCAGUGGGGAAUAUUGGACAAUGGGCGAAAGCCUGAUCCAGCCAUGCCGCGUGUGUGAAGAAGGUCUUCGGAUUGUAAAGCACUUUAAGUUGGGAGGAAGGGCAGUAAGUUAAUACCUUGCUGUUUUGACGUUACCAACAGAAUAAGCACCGGCUAACUUCGUG